RNAcentral lists this ribosomal RNA (198 nucleotides) under uncultured bacterium. RNAcentral describes it as "partial 16S ribosomal RNA". It matches the Rfam family "Bacterial small subunit ribosomal RNA", at positions 328 to 539 of the family's 1533-position model. The record is from RNAcentral.
ACGCUCGACACCUACGGGGGCAGCAGUCGGGAAUAUUGCGCAAUGGAGGAAACUCUGACGCAGUGACGCCGCGUAUGGGAAGAAGGUUUUCGGAUUGUAAACCAUUUUAGACAAGGAAGAAACAAGACAGUACUUGUAGAAUAAGCUCCGGCUAACUACGUGCCAGUAGCCGCGGUAAUCUGAGCGGGCUGGCAAGGC